This 2242-nucleotide long non-coding RNA is filed under the name Callithrix jacchus (white-tufted-ear marmoset). RNAcentral's name for it is "lncRNA (ENSCJAG00000082718.1)". The record is from RNAcentral. Lineage: Eukaryota; Metazoa; Chordata; Mammalia; Primates; Cebidae.
GUGAUGAAUUACCUUAGCAUUUGUUUGUCUGAAAGGAUCUUAUUUCUUGGUUAGAAUUUCCUUUCUUUAAGAGUGCUAAAAAUAAGCCCCCAGUCUCUUCUGGCUGGGCUUGAUUCUGGUAUAAGGUAAGUUCAGUUAAUUGCCUUUGGUUCUGGAAGAUUUGGGGUGGCUAAUGGUCAGCUCAAUACUCCUGGAUUGUGCCCUGUAACUUUGGGGGCUGGUACUAGGACCCCAGCUUUGUUCUUUGUCCCCUUGAGGGUAGGAAUCUGCUGUCCUGGAGGGACUGAGGUCUUCUCAGUCUGUAGGUUUUAACACUCUGACAGGGAGGGCUGGCCAAAGCACAUCACUGGGGUGGUGGCAGCAGGAUCAGUGCUUGCUUGCAUGUGCCAGCUGUGGUGUUGUGGUGAAGUACACCUGCAUUGGCUGGGGUGGGGUGCUGGGGGGAGCCUUUCUUAGUUUUCACAGGUUCCCUAUACUGGCAAAAACUUGUGGUCUUAGUAUUUGGCUGAGAUCCAGUAGGUGGCACUUAAGAGUGUUAACCAGCAGACUUCAGGCAAAAGUAGAACCACUGGGCCAGAAGCUCUACCAGGUGUGGCUCACCUGGAUACCAGUGGCGGGGUGGUCUCCUGCCCUGCCUUCUGAGCGUUUCCUGGGACAGCAGCAGGCUACAGCUACUGGCUGAGUUCAGGUAGGUGUGGGAUCACUGGGUCAAAAGCUGGUAUUGAGCCUUGUAUGGUAGGUAGGCAUAGAGCCAUCUUACUGCUACCAGGCACCACGACUGCAGCCACUUUCUGGGUUAUGAUGCUGGUGCUGGUCUGUUCCAGGGUCUGAGGCUUGUUAGAGGUCCCUUUAGACCUGAGAAUAGCAUCUGCAAAAACUCUGGGGAUCUUUCUGCUUCAGUUUAGAAGCAUAGUAGGCGGUACUUGGGACAGGGUGCUGGGGCAUUCUCCUGUUCCCAGUCUUGCAGAGGUCUCUGUGGAGAGUGUGAAUCCCCCAGAGAUUCACCCUUUCCCAUGUUGGAGAGCUUCUCCUGGCUGGAUGUUGAUCCCAGACAGGCUGCAACCCAGCUUUACUCCUCUCUGCUAUCUGUGUUCCCUUUCUGUCUUGAUGGUACCUGAACAGUUUCUUAAUGAUGCAAACAUUUAAGGCUUUGAACUUUUCUCUACAUACUGCUUUAGCUGUAUUAUUUUUAAUUCUACAAAUUUAUUUUGCCUCUCCUCUAAGGGUUGUUUUUAGAGCAAUUUAUUUAGUUUUCAGUGAAAGAGACUUACUCUUUUCUGAUGUUAUAAUUUAAUUUUAUUAUAUUGUAAGGAAAGAUUAUUGUUUUAUUUUCACCUUUCAGAAUUUAAUGAGAUGCUCUCUAAUGGCUUAGUGUAUGGUCAGUUUUAAUGUUUGUUAAUAUUUGUAGAAAGCAUAUAACAUAUUUUUAUAGACAUUUAUAAAAUAUAUCUACUUAAUUAUGUCAUUAAAUUAUCCUAUAUUUUUUGAUAUAUUUUUGACCACUGGAAGUGUCAUUAUCACGACUUAACAUGCCAUUGAUAGAAGUUAAUUCUCCUACUUCAAGUGUGUUUGUUGUCUAUUGUUUCUUUUAUCACAUACCUUCUACUUAAGAAUGUUGCUGCUUUUGUGUUCUGUUUGCCAGCAUUUUAUUGAAGACUUUUGCAUCAAUGUUCAUCAUGGAUAUUGUCCUGAAGUUUUCUUGUUUAGUUGUGUCUCUGCCCGGUUUUGGUAUAAGGAUGAUGUUGGUCUCGUAAUAUGGGUUGGGGAGGAUUCCCUCUUUCUGUAUUGUGUGGAAUAGUUUCAGAAGAAAUGGUACCAACUCCUCUUUCGAUGUCUGGUAGAAUUCAGCUGUAAACCCAUCUGGACCUGCACUUUUUUGGUUGAUAGGCUAUUAAUUGCUGCCUCAACUUUAACCCUUGUUAUUGGUCUAUUCAGGGUUUCAACUUCUUCCUGGUUUAGUCUUGGGAUAGUACAAGUGUCCAGGAAUUUAUCAAUUACUUCCAAAUUUACUGGUUUGUGUGUGUAGAGUUGUUUGUAGCAAUCUCUGAUGGUGGUUUGUAUUUCUGUGGAAUCGGUGGUGAUGUCCCCUUUAUCAUUUUUUAUUACAUCUAUUUUAUUCUUCUCUCUUUUAUUUUUUAUUAGUCUGGCUAGCAGUCUAUUUAUUUUGUUGAUCUUUUCAAAAAACCAGCUCCUGAAUUUGUUGAUUUUUUGAAGGGUUUUUAAACGCUUAUUCAUCAUGAUC